CCUACGGGGGGCUGCAGUGGGGGAUAUUGCACAAUGGGGGAAACCCUGAUGCAGCGACGCCGCGUGAGUGAAGAAGUAUCUCGGUACGUAAAGCUCUAUCAGCAGGGAAGAAAAUGACGGUACCUGACUAAGAAGCCCCGCCUAACUACUUGCCAGCAGCCGCGGUAAUACGUAGGGGGCAAGCGUUAUCCGGAUUUACUGGGUGUAAGGGUAGCGUAGACGGCAGCACAAGUCUGGAGUGAAAACCCGGGGCUCAACCCCGGAACUGCUUUGGAAACUGUGCGGCUGGAGUGCAGGAGGGGCAAGCGGAAUUCCUAGUGUAGCGGUGAAAUGCGUAGAUAUUAGGAGGAACACCAGUGGCGAAGGCGGCUUACUGGACUGUAACUGACGUUGAGGCUCGAAAGCGUGGGGAGCAAACAGGAUUAGAUACCCCUGUAGUC
RNAcentral lists this ribosomal RNA (440 nucleotides) under uncultured bacterium. RNAcentral describes it as "partial 16S ribosomal RNA". It matches the Rfam family "Bacterial small subunit ribosomal RNA", at positions 338 to 795 of the family's 1533-position model. The record is from RNAcentral.